This 30-nucleotide non-coding RNA is filed under the name Cricetulus griseus (Chinese hamster). The record is from RNAcentral. Lineage: Eukaryota; Metazoa; Chordata; Mammalia; Rodentia; Cricetidae.
UCUGAGUCAUUAUUAAUUUUUUGAGGUCUU